Molecule: ribosomal RNA, 198 nt
Filed under: Triticum aestivum (bread wheat)
Lineage: Eukaryota; Viridiplantae; Streptophyta; Magnoliopsida; Poales; Poaceae
Description: partial small subunit ribosomal RNA
Source: RNAcentral
AUGGUGACUCACAGAAUGACCUGGCCCUGGAAUACAUUUCGCGCGUGCUCACAGAGGAGGACAUCGUCGAUAAGUUCUUCUACCAGUACCCUGACCACCCGAAGCUCCUGCAGGCCGAGCAGCCCUUCGCCGAGAUCCUCGCCAACACCUCACCCGCCGCCGACCAGGACUCCUUUGCCGACUCCACCUCCAUAUUGA